Drosophila mojavensis is the source of this 237-nucleotide long non-coding RNA. RefSeq lists it as uncharacterized. The transcript is spliced from 2 exons. NCBI's taxonomy places the organism in Eukaryota, Metazoa, Arthropoda, Insecta, Diptera, Drosophilidae. The record is from RefSeq and is a predicted model, not a curated record.
UAGAAAAAAAAAAUUGUAAUUAAUUAUAUUAUUAAUAAGUUCAAAUAUUAUUUCUAAAAACUUCUAGAAAGCAGGCUUUGAUAGUAAAAAUUUGAAGAACUGCCAAAAACUUUUCAAAUUUUCUACAUACACUUUUGGCAUUUUCUACAAAAAAGAGCUCUUUAAGCAAUAUCAAUUUCUGUGACUAUUUUUAGGCAUUUUCCAGUAUUUACUGUGAGAGGCCUGUUUGAAGUAACU